This 403-nucleotide long non-coding RNA is filed under the name Rattus norvegicus (Norway rat). Its description in RNAcentral is "long non-coding RNA NONRATT029023". The record is from RNAcentral. Lineage: Eukaryota; Metazoa; Chordata; Mammalia; Rodentia; Muridae.
GCUGGGCACCGCACAACAACGACUACCACAGGGCUCCCUGUGUCGUCAGUCUCCACUGCCUUGUCUCACACUCACCCCUCCCUCACCCGAUCCCAGUCGGUCCCAGCCUCCACAGGCCUGGGCUGGGGGCCUGGGCUAGGGGCCCCUCCACAGGAGGGCAGCAUCAGCUCCACCCUGGCAGGCACCCAGGACACUCGGUGGGGAAGCCCCACAUCUCUGGAGGGUGAGUUGGGGACUGUGGCCAUCUUCCACGAAGCCCUGCAAGCAUCCGCCCUACGGAUCCUGUGCAUCCUGGGGCCCAAUGAGCCAGCACCCUUCAAGCCCGAGGGUGAACUACACGAGCUUGGCGCCAAGUUGCUCCUCCAUUAUUCACCGCAGGCCUGUAAGAACAAUAUCUGUCUGG